UUAUAGGACUGUGCACGUAGUUAAGAGUGUUGUAAAGCAACGGCGCCAAUGAAAACGACUUGGGACGUUGUAGCGCAUUGAGAAUGUAAGGACUAGGCCAAUGGUAACCUGCGCAGACAGGUGAAACCACGUGAUUUACGUGUGAGGCCUUUAAUAGACUGCAAAAGGCCAUAUUACAGCCUUUACAGGACUGUGCAGGUAGUUAAGAGUGUUCUAAGGCCACGGCGCUAAGGAAAACCACUUGAAACGUUGUAGUGCAUUGAGACUGGAAGGAAUAGUCCAGUGGUAACCUGCGCAGGCAGAUGGAACCAAGUGAUUUUCGUGUGAGGGCUUUAUUAGACCGCAAAAGGCCAUAUUACAGCCUUUAUAGGACUGUGAACGUAGUUAAGAGUGUUGUAAAGCAACGGCGCUAAUGAAAACGACUUGGGACGUUGUAGCACUUUGAGACUGGAAGGACUAGGCCAAUGGUAACCUGCGCAGGCAGGUGAAACAACGUGAUUUACGUGUGAAGCCUUUAUUAGACUGCAAAAGGCCAUAUUACAGCCUUUAUAGGACUGUGCACGUAGUUAAAAGUGUUGUAUGGCAACAGCGCUAAUGAAAAUGACUUGGGACGCUGUAGCGCAUUGAGACUGGAAGUAAUAGUCCAAUGGUAACCUGCACAGACAAAUGGAACCGCGCGAUUUACGUGUGAGGCCUUUAUUAGACUGCAAAAGGCCAUAUUACAGCCUUUAUAGGACUGUGCACGUAUUUAAGAGUGUUGUAAGGCAACAGCGAUAAUGAAAACGACUUGGGACGUUGUAGUGCAUUGAGACUGGAAGGAAUAGUCCAAUGGUAACCUGCGCAGGCAGAUGGAACCACGUGAUUUACGUGUGAGGCUUUUAUUAGACUGCAAAAGGCCAUAUUACAGCCUUUAUAGGACUGUGCACGUAGUUAAGAGUGUUGUAAAGCAAUGGCGCUAAUGAAAACGACUUGGGACGUUGUAGCACAUGGAGACUGGAAGGACUAGACCAAUGGUAACCUGCGCAGGCAGGUGAAACCACGUGAUUUACGUAUGAAGCCUUUGCUAGACUGCAAAAGGCCAAAUUACAGCCUUUAUAGGACUGUGCAGGUUACCAUUGGACUAUUACUUCCAGUCUUAAUGCGCUACAGCGUCCCAAGUCAUUUUCAUUAGCGCCGUUGCCAUACAACAC
Molecule: long non-coding RNA, 1190 nt
Organism: Hydractinia symbiolongicarpus
Lineage: Eukaryota; Metazoa; Cnidaria; Hydrozoa; Anthoathecata; Hydractiniidae
Exons: 2
Source: RefSeq, a predicted model, not a curated record